GACAGAGGUGCCAAGCGUUAGGCGGAAUCACUGGGCUUAAAGCGUGUGUAGGCGGAUUGGUAAGUACCUUGUGAAAUCCCACGGCUCAACCGUGGAACUGCUCGGUAUACUGCUUAUCUUGAGCCACUUAGGGGCUGUCGGAACAAAUGGUGGAGCGGUGAAAUGCGUAGAUAUCAUUUGGAACGCCAACGGUGAAAACAGACAGCUGGGAGUGUGCUGACGCUGAGACACGAAAGCCAGGGGAGCGAACGGG
This 253-nucleotide ribosomal RNA is filed under the name uncultured bacterium. Its description in RNAcentral is "partial 16S ribosomal RNA". It matches the Rfam family "Bacterial small subunit ribosomal RNA", at positions 524 to 776 of the family's 1533-position model. The record is from RNAcentral.